This 82-nucleotide transfer RNA is filed under the name Canis lupus familiaris (dog). It matches the Rfam family "tRNA". From Rfam's summary of the family: Transfer RNA (tRNA) molecules are approximately 80 nucleotides in length. The record is from Rfam by way of RNAcentral. RNAcentral also lists the same sequence under 1 other name. Lineage: Eukaryota; Metazoa; Chordata; Mammalia; Carnivora; Canidae.
GCUCAGUUGGUUACAUGCCCAACUCUUGAUUUCAACUCAGGUCAUGAUCUCCAGGUCGUGGGUUUGAACCCCACAUUGGGCU